RNAcentral lists this long non-coding RNA (719 nucleotides) under Cyanistes caeruleus (blue tit). RNAcentral's name for it is "lncRNA (ENSCCEG00000015443.1)". The record is from RNAcentral. Lineage: Eukaryota; Metazoa; Chordata; Aves; Passeriformes; Paridae.
UGUGGAUGUAUCAGUGUAGAUCUACCUGCUAUGAAAUGCUAUAGGACUCAGUCCGGCAUGUUUGUAUGUGAAAAUCUCCAAGAGGACCCCAGGAAAACCUUUUAACUGCACCCCACAUCACUGAACUGCCUGCUUGCCUCAAUACCUUCAUGGUCUAAAACUGCUGUUACUGCUUGUGAGAGGACUCAGUGGAAAAUGUGUUUUACCAACACUUGCUUUACUGUGAGGAAAUUUAAUCCAUGGCACUCUGGUCUUUAGCUUGUAGGGUCCAGGAUAUGAAUGCUUUAUCAGAAAUUUUCCAAACAGGAAGGGACUUGUCGACCAUUAUCAAGCUCCUCAGUGAUAAAGCAGAAGAAUGUGGGAGUAUUUCACUCUAAGCCUCGCACCUGGACAUUGAGAGCUCAUAAACAGAUGGGAUUUUUUCCCAUUUUGUAAUUGGCAGUCUUUAUUAAUCCAGUUUAGACAUCCGGAACACCUGGUAUGGAAACAGCAGAAGUGCCAGGCAAGUUGAAUGAAAUCAAACUGGAAGAAUUCUGUACCAGGCAUGGCCGAGGCACAAGGAGUUUGGCAGCUGGCUUGCUCCAUCCUUCCCCUGGAGACCAGGAAAUGCAGAAUGUCUUUCCCAGGCUAAGCAGAAGCAGAUAUACUGUAGCAGUGCAAGGAGAUAGAUUUAUAUAAUUUCAAAGAACAAAACACGAAGAAAGAACCUUUGAAAUAAA